UGUAAUUGGAAUGAUGGUGACCCAAACCCUCACCAGAGUAGCAAUUGGAGGGCAAGUCUGGUGCCAGCAGCCGCGGUAAUUCCAGCUCCAAUAGCGUAUAUUAAACUUGUUGCAGUUAAAAAGCUCGUAGUUGUAUUUUUGCGUUGACGGUUUGACCAUUUGGUUGGUUAUUUCGUUUUCGCUUUUGGGAAUUUCCCUUUUUACUUUGAGAAAAUUAGAGUGUUUCAAGCAGACUUUUGUCUUGAAUACUUCAGCAUGGAAUAAUAGAGUAGGACUUUGGUUCUAUUUUGUUGGUUAUUGAACCUUAGUAAUGGUUAAUAGGAACGGUUGGGGGCAUUCGUAUUUAACUGUCAGAGGUGAAAUUCUUAGAUUUGUUAAAGACGAACUACUGCGAAAGCAUUUGCCAAGGACGUUUCCAUUAAUCAAGAACGAAAGUUAGGGGAUCGAAGACGAUCAGAUACCGUCGUAGUCCUAACCAUAAACUAUGCCGACUAGUGAUGGAG
This 503-nucleotide ribosomal RNA is filed under the name Babesia canis. RNAcentral's name for it is "SSU rRNA". It matches the Rfam family "Eukaryotic small subunit ribosomal RNA", at positions 504 to 1057 of the family's 1831-position model. The record is from RNAcentral. Lineage: Eukaryota; Apicomplexa; Aconoidasida; Piroplasmida; Babesiidae.